AAGUGAGUGCCUAUAUUUGAGUAUCCACAGUACCCUACCAAAAAUCUUUACGCUACUUUUUCAAGCCUUUUACAUAUGAGAGAAAGAAGCAGACAAAUAACUAAUCUUAAGACAGUGUGACAAGUGCUAUAAAAGGAAUGUAAAUAGUAAUAUUAGAUCAGAGAGUAAAGGUACAUUACCUCCCCUCCGUGGAAAGAUCCAGAAGGCCUCCCUAGAAGGUGAUACUUAAUCUAAUGUUUGAUGUUUUUAUUUAACCAUUAACCAGAAUGGGUUGAAAAAGGGUGAAGGUUAUUCUUGGAAGCAAAGCUAUUUAACCCAAAGUCAUGCAACAGAAGAACCCAACUUCUCAGAGAGCUGUAAAUAUCCAGCUUGGGCAAAAUCUUUUUCCCUUGAAGACUGGAAAUAUUAUCCAUGUUGUCCUCCGGAAUAUUUUCAAUGACUUGUGCCCUGCCAGCUCUAGCUUUUGAAGGGUCUACACUCAUCAUCAACAGCCUCAAAGGAAAUCCGAAUCCUAAGGCAUCAUUAAAACAGGAUCCCAAAUCUCCAUAGCAGAGGAGAGAUGAGACACUGAAGCAGUUUAAAGAUCGGGUUUUCAAUGCGUGACAUAUAACUGUCCAUUUUCAGGCUGGAAAAAUGAAUGGCUUUCUAGGAGGCAUACUGUUCAACUCACCUUUACAACUUUCAAUCACUGUGGCUGAAAUAGAGUCAUGAAAGACAAGAUGUUGAUAAUACUUACAAGAGAAAGAAGAAAUAAAAUCCCUACUUUACGUCUACUUCCUGUAACCAGAUCUGAAAACCUCAGUGACCUCUGUGGAUUAAGCUGUAUUUAUAAUUGUGGAAAUUAGACACGGUGAUGAAACACUGGUUCUUCCAUUUUCCAGAGGCUGUUUUAACACCACAUGAGUGGGGUGUCUAAUUUUUCUGACCUUUGGUUAUUUUAUUCAUACAAGCCAUGCUCACCAAAUGCCUUACUGUGUUAACUAGAAUGGCUUCAGUUAAAUAGCAACAGUGGAGAAAAAAAUAAAUUAAUGCCUCUUCUCAGCAGUGACCUGACAUUACACUUCCUGCCUUUUCUAAACUCUCCUGUAAAAUAUAUACAAUAUUAAAAUUUAAAAUCCUGACA
This is a long non-coding RNA of Homo sapiens (human), 1123 nucleotides long. RefSeq lists it as uncharacterized. Lineage: Eukaryota; Metazoa; Chordata; Mammalia; Primates; Hominidae. The transcript has 3 exons. The record is from RefSeq and is a predicted model, not a curated record.